RNAcentral lists this ribosomal RNA (447 nucleotides) under uncultured bacterium. Its description in RNAcentral is "partial 16S ribosomal RNA". It matches the Rfam family "Bacterial small subunit ribosomal RNA", at positions 29 to 523 of the family's 1533-position model. The record is from RNAcentral.
AGCGAACGCUGGCGGCAGGCUUAACACAUGCAAGUCGAACGGUCCUUCGGGAUAGUGGCGGACGGGUGAGUAACACGUGGGAACGUGCCUUUAGGUUCGGAACAACACAGGGAAACUUGUGCUAAUACCGGAUGGGCCCUUCGGGGGAAAGAUUUAUCGCCUUUAGAGCGGCCCGCGUCUGAUUAGCUUGUUGGUGAGGUAAUGGCUCACCAAGGCGACGAUCAGUAGCUGGUCUGAGAGGAUGACCAGCCACAUUGGGACUGAGACACGGCCCAAACUCCUACGGGAGGCAGCAGUGGGGAAUCUUGCGCAAUGGGCGAAAGCCUGACGCAGCCAUGCCGCGUGAAUGAUGAAGGUCUUAGGAUUGUAAAAUUCUUUCACCGGGGACGAUAAUGACGGUACCCGGAGAAGAAGCCCCGGCUAACUUCGUGCCAGCAGCCGCCGUAA